Molecule: long non-coding RNA, 1052 nt
Organism: Limulus polyphemus (Atlantic horseshoe crab)
Lineage: Eukaryota; Metazoa; Arthropoda; Merostomata; Xiphosura; Limulidae
Exons: 3
Source: RefSeq, a predicted model, not a curated record
ACAGCAUGAAACUAUAGCAAGCACAAAAUGGUUACGAGGUUGGUCUCAAGGACCAAGCCCAUGCUGAAAGAGUUAACUAAUUAUUUUAUAUCCUAUGUUUUGACUGAUAAUCUGCUGCCGUCCUCAAAGAAGUCCUUUCAAGGACUGUAGGUAAAUGCAGUAGAUUUGACUCAAUACUUGGUUUUAUUGUUAGAAAAGCAAGUGUUCUGUGAACUCAUUGUGCUGUUAUUACAUUUGGAAUUUGAUCAGUUGGUUAUGUGACUUGUUUCAGAAGGGUUAUUGAGGUUUCAUGUUUUGCUGACUACUGUGAUAGAUUUACUGAGUGUGUGUUAUCAGUAAGGUAAAUGUAGAAGGCUUCUUUUAUAUUUAUUUUCUUCAUGUGUUGUUCAUAUCCAUUAUUUUAGUGUUAUUACAUUUUAUUGUAUGAUCUCUUACAUGACAGGCAUUUACAGAUAGCACUGAUUAAAUUGUUGACUUUAUUAUAUUUCUAAGUGUCAUAAUAAAUAAUUAUAUGAUAAGAUACGACUAUUUUAUCAGAUAUACAUCUUUUUUAGAAUGCACUGUGCAUUUUACCUAAUUAAUAUUACAUUAAAAUACUCAUUAUUGCUACCAAAUGUAAAAUCUAGUUUGAGAGCCUGGCUAAUUUAAUAACUUUGAAGUUGUAUGGAUAUAACAAAAAUGCUAUCUUAAAACAAUGUAGUUCUGUAUGGGAUAUAAAAACUCUCUGAAAAAUGACUUAUUAGUAAAAAAAGAGUUACUACAUUCUAAAGAUAAUACAUGCAAUGGUAAAAUUUUCAAAUAUUGUUAACAAAUCAUGCAAAAUGGUUGAUAUAUAUGCUCAUUGUAGAGACAAACUAAAUAGUUAUUUAUCAGAGUUUUGUUUAAGGUAAUGUAAAGAAAAUGUUUCCAUUAUUUGCUGCAAUUUUUUUUAACAUGAAAAUGUGAUGAGUGUGAUUUCAGAUAAUAUUAGAAUUGCUUAGAAGAAAAACUGCUGUUCUUAUGCAGAUUAGUUGUAAAACAUUCAGUCACUGUUCUUUUUAACGCCUCUUUCU